UGUAGCUUAAUGGUAAAGCACUUUCCUAGCAUGUAUAAGGCCUUGGGUUCAAUUCCCAAUA
Molecule: transfer RNA, 61 nt
Filed under: Urocitellus parryii (Arctic ground squirrel)
Lineage: Eukaryota; Metazoa; Chordata; Mammalia; Rodentia; Sciuridae
Also listed under: 1 other name
Description: Spermophilus parryii (Arctic ground squirrel) tRNA
Rfam family: tRNA
About the family: Transfer RNA (tRNA) molecules are approximately 80 nucleotides in length. Their secondary structure includes four short double-helical elements and three loops (D, anti-codon, and T loops).
Source: Rfam by way of RNAcentral